AACAUGCCACGUCUUGCAUGUCUGCAUUUUCGCCGCUCUUACACGCAAACAGGCGUACUCACAUCUGUAUAUUUAAGAGCAGCAGCAGAUACAGCUGGCUGCAGUGACUGUUUCUACUGCGUCGGGUCCUUAACCUCAUCGCGUUGGGAGACGCGACGAACUAAGUACCGCAUCAGCGACAUCAAACGCAUCCGACACUGGGCGGAAUCGAAUAAAUACGCGGAAAUACGUGCGCCCUCCGACACACAAACGCAUCGAACGCCUCUACGGUCAUACAGGGGCAGAAGAAGUCCGUACUAUAGAAAUAUGAGCAUGACGGUGACCAGGAGCCGUCAGCGAGCAGCCCGCACAAAUUUAUCCUUGAUUACGUUUUGCUCUUAUCGUCGUUUACCGUUGCUUCUGAUGCCGCUAAAGUGUUUCCAUCACUCUCAUCUACGGAGUCCUUCUGCAAACAACAAAGAAGAAAAUGGCUUCGAUUCUUAUCGUCGCUGUCGCCAUCGCCGAUAAACAAGCCGACAACUGUGACAUAGUAGCAUAGCAGGGAGGAAUCUUUCAACUCGGACCAAUUUUCUUUGUGCUUGACCAGACGGUACGGUGUAAACGAUACGUGCAUAUGGACGUCAUGCUGCCGGAAGGCGCCUGAACGCCGUUCGGUGCGAAUGUAUGAUUCAGUUAGGACAGUAGUUCGAUUUUGUUGUAUUACGGGAUAUUUUUCCCGCAAUUGGAUUUUCUGCCGGUAGCUGGUGGCUUCCAUAGGAAGAGGAAAAGCGGCCAUGACAUAGACAGGAAUGAAUGAAAUCAGAUCAGAUAGUUAUGAACUAGUGUCUGGUACUGUGCUAUACAUAAGGGCAUGUUCGUUUGAAAUCUACAAACAAAGGGAAUGAUGCGAACAAUUCGGGUAUAGCGACUGCCACCGACUAUAUGGAUCGCAUCGGCCUUUCUUCACGUCGCAGGGUUGCACGGCGACCAGAAACGGAUCCCAGCAUCAAACAGGUCGACAGAAAAAGAACACCACAGGCAACAACGUACAUAUUAGGAAUUAUUAUGUUUUUGGAAAAAGGACCAUCUGUUUGCCCCGGAGACUAACGGCCAUAUUGUUCCGCUUGGCUUCAGAUACCACAUCGCCGAUUCUAGCGGCCGCCACAACUGUCUUUCUAACGACUUGUCUAAUGAUCAGGAGAUAAAUCGAUAAUGCAUAUCUCUCUCUAUUUCUCGUCACUAGAACCAGCAUGUCCUGCUCAAAAUUUCAUAUACGCAGGUAAUUUAAAUUGCAAACAUUUAGUCAGUUAUAGCAGCAGCGGCGGCGGCUACGGUGAGGCAAUUCUCAGUACGUUCUAUCGACUGUUGUGCAACGCCCUCCCUUUAAUCGAUACAACGUUCGUGUGGGAGGGAUUUAACGAUUAUUGGUCGAUAAUAUUAUAUUAUUAGACAACGGUCGGCAUUUUAGAGGGCUAUUUUAGGCGCCGCCCAUCACCUCUAGUCACGAUAUCAUUUGGAUUACGUACACACGUUCAGUCACUAAGCGCUCUAUCUACGGUGUAUUUGUACUAGUGUAUUAGAUAAUUAUGACAUGGCAUAUAAACCAUAUUGUUUGCAUAGGGUGGAUAGGUACUGUUUAACUACGUAUGUAAACGUGGCAUAUAGUGGACGUUUGACCCUCGGAAGAACUAGAGGUGCCUGUAUGUCGACCACUUUCAGCCGGUCUGACGAUAACAGGACAAUACUACACAAUCUAUGUGGAUAAGGUAUUUUGUUUAGGAUCGGGCUAUUGAGCCUCAGCUAGUGCUGAAAUGCUGCGAUUUGCCCGCUGCACGGGGUGAGAGUCAGUUGACUGAGACGCACUUGGGCCUACUAAACGGUUCUCCCAAAUGGCUAAAUUUAACUAGAGUUUUUCUAUGCCUUCUACAUAGAUCCCAAAUGAUACGGCGAUGGAUGGACAAAACUUCGUCCAUAAUCUCCGCCCACUUUUCCGUUAGUACUCGUUGGGAGCAAAUUUCUCAUAAACUAUAGUAUUACACAUUAGACAAACAGAGCCAUAUUGUAACUAGCACGGCAUCGUAUCGCUUAUGUGUCAUUACGUAUAGCAGACUAUCAUGCUAUAUAUGCUAUAUGUUUAGAAAGAGGGAAACAAUAGAAGGGAAGCAGGUUUCUACGUAUGCAUAUUCUUUUUCCUAGCUACCGCCGCCCCUAAAGCGCCGCGCUAGAAUCUGGUCACCUGGUUUCUUACGGCGUUUCGAAUGGUCGAUGCUGAAGUCAGACUUUAGCCAUCGGACGUUGCGAUUGCCGUCUUCCAGGCGACCACCUCGUCGUCUGCCAGUACGUAUUACGUUCCUUCUGUUCUGGAAACUUCGCUCCUAAUCGAUCUGCCAGUACGUCUGCAACAGCGGCGCAAUGCUGUGGGUAGCUUUACUGGACGAGCGCGGCAUUUUCGCUCGCGUUUCCAGAGUGCUGCCGAAUCCAGGAGUUGAUGAUAGCGGCGCGUGCGUCGCACGCGUCUGAAGCAGGUUGAUGAUCCAUUCAGAAAACGAUGAGGAAGCCGAAGAGAAAGGUGAAAAACGGCCACGGCAACGAUGAAAAAGGGGAAGAAAUUUGAAAGAAUAAAGUGUCCGGCUCCAGAUCCGAGCUAACAAAUGACAACAGCUGUGCGAGCGCUGGCUAACCGAGAUGAAACAGGGUAGAAUAUACCCCUCCCACCCAGUGACACCGAGAAUUGAGGAGGUCGGUGUGGGGGGUUUGUCAUACAAGGCUACUAGAGGAACUGCCUAGCGUUAGCAGCACAGCCACUACGGGUGCUGCUGUUACCAGCAGAUGAUCGGAAAUCAGACAACUGAAUGGAUCUGACUAUAACAUGACGCGAUGCCGACGUGGUUGCUUUGCAACUAUACGACUCUUUUUCGUUCUCUAUUCUCACUUUUCCCCUCUCUUUGCUCAGUCACGGCGGAGCCAGUGAUAGAGGUAACGGCAGAGUACUGGCAUGAUCGUCAUCGGAUGGAGCUGAUCCAUGCGGCCCGUUCUACUCGACCAGUAGAAACCUCUUUGGUCUAUCAUCCCCUCAGCUCUUCAGUCCCCUUCAUCCGUUUUGAAUGGAACCCCACUCGGGUCGCCUGAUCGUGGUCGAAGCAGAGGAGCAGAAUCAGGAACAACAACGAACACCGGAGAAGACGCCAUCCCAAGACGAUGAGAGUCGGACUCCGUCGAAUGGAACUAACUUCGUGAAGACAACAUCGACAGCACCGCGAUGGCAGCGGCUACGGUGGCGACAACGGGGGAUGAUGCCGAUGUCGCACCAUCAUCAUCAAAAAAAACACAGCCAAGAAGAUAAAGAAAACUUCAGAACAAUGAAAGUUGUUCUCCGUGGAGAAGUCUUUUUCUUUUCUACUCUUUCUUCCCAUUUUUUUUGAUGUUGAUUCUCUCAGUUUCUGGUUGUGUACUUUGCUUUUCGUCUGUUUGUUUGUCUAUCUGUCUGUGCGUGCGUGAUAGCAAUAGUCAAUGGCGGUAGAAGCCGAGAUGCGGCUCAGCACCAGUGCCGAGGACGUUGAUCCUUCCCACUACAAACAUUAUCAUCGGAUGAACUGAACCAAACGGAUGUUGUCGCAAUUUGAAGCUUUCGUUGAGGCCUGCAUCGUAUCCAGAUUGAAUACUUACGACGGUACUGCCGCAGCGACAAUACAAAUGAACACAAGCUACGUUUGCACUAACGAAAACCAUGCCAAGUCUCUAGUUCAACGGUACUAGGAAGUGCCCCAUCGACCAUAUUAGCUAAAUAACAAAGCGGAGCACACGGCUACUUUACCUCACAUUGCCAAGGAAGACGUUGUCAACUGGCCGUUGAAGAAGCCAGUGCCGAUCACCUCCAUCCAAAUCAAUCAGUAUCAAUCAACAGAGGUGCCGACGCUACCGGUUGACCGCAUUGCGUCGAUCAUCGUAUCUAUUACGACAUUGCUGUUUCAACAUAGACCGUACAAGAUGCACUGUAGAUAGCGAAAGCACACGGAUAAUGGAUUUCAUUGCAGGGAGUAUAUCGAUAGGAAACAGAUCUUCAUUUGAACCCACAUGAUUGCUGUACUUCUGACUUUACUACCGUGCAGACCUCGACGCCGCCUGCACACGCAUAGACGUGACUGGACGUUAUCCGUACACGGCUUCACGACAGUCACCGAUCAUCAAGCGCUGUUUAUGGAGUGCGAGAGCAUACAGCAUGAACGUGCAUCUAACAAACCCUUAGGUAGAGUCUAAUCGAAUCGGUUAUGAUACGUUAUCGUACGAAUACGUGUGCACGUCAUUUGAACGGCCUAUGCUGAAGCAGCUUACUAAAUCAGCUAUGGAUAUCUGAGCUAUCAUUCUUUAUCGCCGUACUUACUACCUGAGAAAAGCUUUUCAAUUGCUUAUGGGAGAUGGCUAUUAACUGGCUUGAUAUCUUUUACUUGUCAUUUUAACACAAGACCCACUAAUCAUACAUCCUGUAUACGAAUGCCUGCUUGGUUGAAAGAGGUCCCAUCGACCGGUACUAAUAAUAAGUCUACGGGGCUAUAGUUUAGUAUUCUCCGGCCAAUUCAACUGACACGCAGGCUACAAAGCUGUUUCAAACGUGCGCUGUCAUCGUUUAGUCUACCAUAAGCUUACAUCCAGUCCCGCGAAACUCCAAACAACAGUAAUAGCAACGCAAAUAAUAGUUAUUAGUACUAUUAUUACACUGAGUAAUAAUAAUGGUAGUAACGGUCUAAUAGGAAGCACGGUGGUUACCCGCGGCACGUCAAAGACCGAAACAAAAACAACGACGCGGAUAACAAUAACGCACUGCCAGCUGACUUCAAACAAGACGUCGUGAAAAGCGGUAGCUACAGCGACACGGUAGUGGGGUAGCGGGCAAUACGUUGAAUCCCAAUAAUCGUAAAUCAUUGCCCUUCAGCAGAAACAGCAAUGGUAGGAAUAACAACAUCAACACCAGCUCUGUGGCGAAAAAUAAGAUAAUGGAAAAGCAUCGGUGUUGGCGGCGGCGGCGACAGCAGUAAAGCGAAGCAAACACGUUACGUCUUCAAGAAUCUCUAGGCUUCGACGUAAUUGGAGGAUCUGUCCAGCUGUGCAUCUGCCGAUCCGUUUGUUUACCCGUCUGUUCACCGACAACAAUAACAGCAACUGGGACCAAACUGCUGUUUGAAUCGGCGGUGACGCACCGCUCGGAACGUGUGGGGGAAAGAGAUUCGGAGAGGCAAGAAAGCACGUACUAUCGACAGAUACAGUACGAACUGUAUAUACGCCGAAUACGAUACGAUCAGGAUAGAAGGCCAUUUGAUUCAAAGGUCUGUGACGGCGGUGACAUAGGCCCGUGUCGACGCAGGGAUAGCUGGGAGCGAGCAACGCCGAGGCGAUUCCUGUUCCAUCCGUCUGCUCGGUACCGCAGGAACUGAUCUGUAAGAGCGGGCGCGAGUUCGACUUUAUAAAGGAUAAACCUUAAUAAUCCACCAGUAUCAUUUGCGGUUAUUCUCAAGGAAGAAGCGUGUUUACAUGUUCGCGUUUGUACAGUGAACGCAGACACAACACUAUAAUAUGGCAAUCGUGCCAAACCCUCUAAGGUAUCUUCUAGUAAGAAUUAUCAAGAAAUCAGUAAUUCGAUUUAGAGACGAUUCAUUUCUAUCGAUGGAUUUAAGAAUGAUAAUAAUUAUUUGUUGUGUUACUGUUUCAUUGCAUUAAGAAGAGCUGCUAGGCUGUACUAAGGGAAGAAUAGGACACCGACUAUUUGUAUGGCUUAUGAAAGCAAACUGCAACAAACUUUAUCUAAUUUAUAGCGCCAAACUCACUGUCAUCUGCGUAUGCACAGUUACCUCAUGAAGCGUUGUAAGGAUAUUAGUAACUAAACUAUGUUAUACUUUAGAGUAGUAUAUUUGGGUUGUUCUAGGAACUUCUGUCGUGUGCCGAUUUCCGCUGGCCGACUAUUUAAUCAAUCGUAUUUCGAUGUAUAUAGCUAUAAUAUUGUAUUCUACGUACGGUCAUAAUUUGGUGCACAAAAUACGCUCCCUUAUUAAUUGUGCCCCAAAUACGAUAAUAGACGACCUUCUCUGUAUUCACACUUCAGACAGGCAGCAUAGGCACCAUUGUGCCUAAUGUAGGCCA
Molecule: long non-coding RNA, 6111 nt
Filed under: Varroa destructor (honeybee mite)
Lineage: Eukaryota; Metazoa; Arthropoda; Arachnida; Mesostigmata; Varroidae
Description: uncharacterized LOC111249845
Source: RNAcentral